This 337-nucleotide unclassified non-coding RNA is filed under the name soil metagenome. Its description in RNAcentral is "partial contains 5.8S ribosomal RNA, internal transcribed spacer 2, and large subunit ribosomal RNA". The stretch from base 1 to 120 matches the Rfam family "5.8S ribosomal RNA", at positions 35 to 154 of the family's 154-position model. The record is from RNAcentral.
GAUGAAGAACGUAGCGAAAUGCGAUAAGUAGUGUGAAUUGCAGAAUUCAGUGUAUCAUCGAAUCUUUGAACGCACAUUGCGCCCCUUGGUAUUCCAUGGGGCAUGCCUGUUCGAGCGUCAUUUGUACCUUCAAGCCUUGCUUGGUGUUGGGUGUUUGUCUCGCCUCUGCGCGCAGACUCGCCUCAAAACAAUUGGCAGCCGGCGUAUUGAUUUCGGAGCGCAGUACAUCUCGCGCUUUGCACUCAGAACGACGACGUCCAAAAGUACAUUUUUACACUCUUGACCUCGGAUCAGGUAGGGAUACCCGCUGAACUUAAGCAUAUCAAUAAGCGGAGGA